GCUGUUUCAUCUUUGUUUUAAAGAAAUAUAAAAAUGAGUUGGGUUAAGUCUCGCAACGAGCGCAACCCUCGUGUUUAGUUGCCACUAUGAGUUUGGAACCCUGAACAGACCGCCGGUGUUAAGCCGGAGGAAGGAGAGGAUGAGGCCAAGUCAU
This 154-nucleotide non-coding RNA is filed under the name Triticum aestivum (bread wheat). RNAcentral describes it as "Bacterial small subunit ribosomal RNA". It matches the Rfam family "Bacterial small subunit ribosomal RNA", at positions 1048 to 1193 of the family's 1533-position model. RNAcentral also lists the same sequence under 1 other name. Lineage: Eukaryota; Viridiplantae; Streptophyta; Magnoliopsida; Poales; Poaceae. The record is from Rfam by way of RNAcentral.